This 409-nucleotide ribosomal RNA is filed under the name uncultured Methylomirabilota bacterium. RNAcentral describes it as "bacterial SSU rRNA". It matches the Rfam family "Bacterial small subunit ribosomal RNA", at positions 1026 to 1434 of the family's 1533-position model. The record is from RNAcentral. Lineage: Bacteria; Methylomirabilota (SeqCode).
GCGUGGAGACAGGUGGUGCAUGGCUGUCGUCAGCUCGUGUCGUGAGAUGUUGGGUUAAGUCCCGCAACGAGCGCAACCCUCACCUCUUGUUGCCAUCAGGUCAUGCUGGGCACUCUAGAGGAACUGCCCCGGUCAACGGGGAGGAAGGCGGGGAUGACGUCAAGUCAUCAUGCCCCUUACGUCCUGGGCUACACACGUGCUACAAUGGCCGGUACAAAGGGAUGCCACACCGCGAGGUAGAGCUAAACCCAAAAAGCCGGUCUAAGUUCAGAUUGGAGUCUGCAACUCGACUCCAUGAAGGAGGAAUCGCUAGUAAUCGCGUAUCAGCACGACGCGGUGAAUACGUUCCCGGGCCUUGUACACACCGCCCGUCACACCACGAAAGCCAGCUGUACUCGAAGUCGCUGAG